UGUUUAAAAAUUCUGAAUUGGAGCAAAGCACAGAAGAGAGAAACUUAGGGUUUGUCAUUGGCCGAUGUUAAAGAAGAAACAAUUUCACUUACUGACCGACAAAUCUAGGUUUGGGAAAAGAAUAAAUGCUGGGUUGAAAUAAAAUCCGAAUGAUUCUACGUGAUAAGUUACUUUUUCUGUUUAAUUCACAAAGAUCAGUGUAUUGCCCGGUCCGCGAAACUUCAGGGGGACAACAAAUUUAAAGCUCUGCCCUUUAACAAAUAAAGGACGCUCAAGAAUAAAGAAAGACGAUGAAGUAAUCCGUCUUCGUGUAAAAACGUCAUCCGAGCCGGUUAUCCCAAUGAAGUUCGUAUUGAUGGUUUCAGCAGGAUGCAAGCAAAGUAGGUACACUAUGGGAAGUCCAAAGAAAUUCGCAUAUCCACUAGGACCAUUGAUCAAUGCCGAGCUUUCGAUUGACUAUCAUAUAGUGAUUUUUUACUGUAUAAAACUUAUUCAAAAGGCCGUUCGGCCUCAUGUACUCGCAUCGUAAGAGGGGGUACAAAGGGGUUCCUUGUGCGGACGUUUAAGCCGAAGGUGGGGAGGCCGAAAGCUUCAAUACUGAAGACGACACGGCCAAGUAAGGCAUCAUCGACGUCUCGGCCCAAGUGUGGGUGGAAGAUGGUGAGGAUGGGCAGACGGUCAAUGUCAACCGAAGAGCAACCAGCAGAACAGUGACUAUAGCCGGUUCUGCUCUGGUUGACGUCUUUUCCCUAGGCUUGUUUUUAGAAAGGAUAGAUUAUUUUUACAGCAGUGCCACUGAUAUACAAAGUUUUGCCAUUUAUACAAUAUGACUCAGGUCUUCCCUCUGAAAUAUACUUACAUUUGUUUUUAAAAAGUUCUACAUUACCUGUUAACAUUUAUAGAAUUUUAACUUGAUGUCUAAGGAUUAAAAAGGAUUCACAAUGCAAGAAUGAUCGGAAAGAGAAAUUACCCCAGGGCAACCGAACAAUCAAACUUCCGGUCCAAAAGAUUCAUGAAAAAGUUUAUGAAGGAUAUAGGAAUUGGAGAGGAGGUAAAUCCAGGUGUCACUACAUCACGGGGGACACGUAAGAGACAUGAGACCAUAAACUACAUGAGGACCACAGAUGUGUCUCAGUGCUUACGGCCUACUUCCUUUCAUUCAUGCGGAAGUGGAAUGGCAAACUCACUUUCAAAAAAAGAAAAUCAGUUUUUUCUACUCAACGCCAAUCCAUUUCUGUUAACUCUUAACUAAACGACAUAAUAAGUAAGGACAAAACAUUACAAGGCAGCUAAGUAAGUAAUGAAGAGAGAUUAUAAAUGGUUUAUUAUUUUCACAACCUGAGAUCGAAAUGUUUCCCGUGAAAAUGAGAAGACAAGACAAUGAGUUAAAAGUGCAGAAACACACUAAAUAUCUAGCUAUAAAUAUAUAAAUAAUAACGAGCACUAUUAUGCUAAGAAAGAAUAGUUUCAUUUCUAAAACUAAUUCUAAUUCAAAAUUUAUAUUCAUUUGUACA
This is a long non-coding RNA of Cimex lectularius (bed bug), 1514 nucleotides long. RefSeq lists it as uncharacterized. The record is from RefSeq and is a predicted model, not a curated record. The transcript has 3 exons. Lineage: Eukaryota; Metazoa; Arthropoda; Insecta; Hemiptera; Cimicidae.